RNAcentral lists this transfer RNA (70 nucleotides) under Camelus bactrianus (Bactrian camel). It matches the Rfam family "tRNA". From Rfam's summary of the family: Transfer RNA (tRNA) molecules are approximately 80 nucleotides in length. Lineage: Eukaryota; Metazoa; Chordata; Mammalia; Artiodactyla; Camelidae. The record is from Rfam by way of RNAcentral. RNAcentral also lists the same sequence under 2 other names.
GGGUAUAGCUCAGUGGUAGAAUGUGUGCUUAGCAUGCACAAGCUGCUGGGUUCAAUCCCCAGUAUCACCA